RNAcentral lists this ribosomal RNA (206 nucleotides) under uncultured bacterium. RNAcentral describes it as "partial 16S ribosomal RNA". It matches the Rfam family "Bacterial small subunit ribosomal RNA", at positions 568 to 774 of the family's 1533-position model. The record is from RNAcentral.
CGCGUAGGUGGUUUUGUAUGUCUACCGUGAAAGCGUACGGCUCAACCGUAUUUUGUCGGUAGAAACUGCAGGACUUGAGGCUGGGAGGGGCUGGUGGAAUUCCCUGUGUAGCGGUGAAAUGCGUAGAGAUGGGGGAGAACACUCGUGGCGAAGGCGGCCAGCUAGACCAGUUCUGACACUGAGGCGCGACAGCGUGGGAGCAAACA